GAUGAACGCUGGCGGCAUGCCUAAGACAUGCAAGUCGAACGAGGUGGCCCAAUGAAGACAGAGUGCUUGCACAAAGUUGGAUUUGGUUUACCACCUAGUGGCAGACGGGUGAGUAACACGUGGGUGACCUACCUUUAAGCUGGGGAUAACAGUUGGAAACGAUUGCUAAUACCGAAUAAGAUAUAACUGUUGUGGUUAUAUUGAAAGGAGCCUCUAAAGCUUCACUUAAAGAUGGGCCUGCGGCGUAUUAACUAGUUGGUGGGGUAAUGGCCUACCAAGGUAACGAUGCGUAGCCGAACUGAGAGGUUGAACGGCCACACUGGGACUGAGACACGGCCCAG
RNAcentral lists this ribosomal RNA (341 nucleotides) under uncultured bacterium. Its description in RNAcentral is "bacterial SSU rRNA". It matches the Rfam family "Bacterial small subunit ribosomal RNA", at positions 28 to 334 of the family's 1533-position model. The record is from RNAcentral.